RNAcentral lists this long non-coding RNA (818 nucleotides) under Homo sapiens (human). RNAcentral describes it as "HSALNT0343939". The record is from RNAcentral. Lineage: Eukaryota; Metazoa; Chordata; Mammalia; Primates; Hominidae.
CAUAAGGCAGGAUGGAGUUGUCAUCACAUGGGCUGUGGAUGGAGCAGCCUUGAGAGAAAGGGAUGACUUGAGAAACAUUCAGAUAUUUGAGAAGAACUGCAAAGGCAAAAAGCUUUUUCCUUGGUCCAUUUCGGUUGCUCCAAACACACAGGCAUGGAGGGCCAUUGCUCUCCAACCUACUCUGGUACCACCCAUCAAAGGAUGCUGCUGAAAACUUUUAUUUAUCCAAAGGGAACCCAAGUUGUCUUUUGUUACCAUAAUAUGUGAAUAAGACCAGAAAUCUGUGCAAGUGUGGCUGAGGACCUUGACAGAGCGGCCCUACCUGGCCAAAGAAGAAACAGAACUUGGAGAGGGUCCUCACUAUCAACGUUGAGGCAAUGCUGAAUUGCUGAAUCAGCAGAAGACCACUGAUUCCUGAAUAAUCCAAGAAAAAUUAUCCCAACUCAAAGACACCAGCUAAAAACCCAGAAAAUUCAUUUUUAUCAAGAACCAGCAUGUGGUCCAUGGUGCCCAUUUACUCUGACAUCACAAUGUAAUGUAAGCUCCUAGAUUCCCCAACCUUCUCCAUACAACCCAAAUACAAAAUGCCAUCGUGGAGAGCAGAAGGAUGGUGAUAGAAAUCUGAGAACCUAAAUAUUUUUACGUAAAGACAGUGAACACCAUUGAAAGACAGGAGCGGUGUUCAGUUGUCCCUCCCCUCCCUAACUUAUUGCAGCUACACGGCUGUGGAGGACGAGCAUCUCUUCUGUUGAUUCAGGAAGACCCUCUUAUUAGUUCAGGUCAGUGCAAUAAUAAUCAUUAAAUAUUUUGAAUCUCCA